Molecule: ribosomal RNA, 468 nt
Filed under: uncultured bacterium
Lineage: Bacteria
Description: partial 16S ribosomal RNA
Rfam family: Bacterial small subunit ribosomal RNA
Source: RNAcentral
GACGAACGCUGGCGGCGUGCUUAACACAUGCAAGUCGAACGGAAAGGCCCUGCUUUUGUGGGGUGCUCGAGUGGCGAACGGGUGAGUAACACGUGAGUAACCUGCCCUUGACUUUGGGAUAACUUCAGGAAACUGGGGCUAAUACCGGAUAGGAGCUCCUGCUGCAUGUUGGGGGUUGGAAAGUUUCGGCGGUUGGGGAUGGACUCGCGGCUUAUCCGCUGGUUGGUGGGGUAGUGGCUUACCAGGGCUUUGACGGGUAGCCGGCCUGAGAGGGUGACCGGCGACAUUGGGACUGAGAUACGGCCCAGACUCCUACGGGAGGCAGCAGUGGGGAAUAUUGCACAAUGGGCGGAAGCCUGAUGCAGCAACGCCGCGUGCGGGAUGACGGCCUUCGGGUUGUAAACCGCUUUCGCCUGUGACGAAGCGUGAGUGACGGUAAUGGGUAAAGAAGCACCGGCUAACUACGUG